RNAcentral lists this ribosomal RNA (253 nucleotides) under uncultured bacterium. RNAcentral describes it as "partial 16S ribosomal RNA". It matches the Rfam family "Bacterial small subunit ribosomal RNA", at positions 524 to 776 of the family's 1533-position model. The record is from RNAcentral.
UACGGAGGGUGCAAGCGUUAUCCGGAUUCACUGGGUUUAAAGGGAGCGCAGGCGGAUUAGUAAGUCAGUGGUGAAAGCCUCAAGCUUAACUUGGGAACUGCCAUUGAUACUAUUAGUCUUGAAUGUUGUUGAGGUUUGCGGAAUGGGUCAUGUAGCGGUGAAAUGCAUAGAUAUGACCCGGAACACCUAUUGCGAAGGCAGCAGGCUAAACAAAUAUUGACGCUGAGGCUCGAAAGCGUGGGGAUCAAACAGG